AACGAACGCUGGCGGCAUGCCUAACACAUGCAAGUCGAACGAGACCUUCGGGUCUAGUGGCGCACGGGUGCGUAACACGUGGGAAUCUGCCCUUUGCUUCGGAAUAACAGUUAGAAAUGACUGCUAAUACCGGAUGAUGUCGAAAGACCAAAGAUUUAUCGGCAAAGGAUGAGCCCGCGUAGGAUUAGGUAGUUGGUGGGGUAAAGGCCUACCAAGCCGACGAUCCUUAGCUGGUCUGAGAGGAUGAUCAGCCACACUGGGACUGAGACACGGCCCAGACUCCUACGGGAGGCAGCAGUGGGGAAUAUUGGACAAUGGGCGAAAGCCUGAUCCAGCAAUGCCGCGUGAGUGAUGAAGGCCUUAGGGUUGUAAAGCUCUUUUACCAGGGAUGAUAAUGACAGUGCCUGGAGAAUAAGCUCCGGCUAACUCCGUG
This 433-nucleotide ribosomal RNA is filed under the name uncultured bacterium. RNAcentral's name for it is "partial 16S ribosomal RNA". It matches the Rfam family "Bacterial small subunit ribosomal RNA", at positions 29 to 507 of the family's 1533-position model. The record is from RNAcentral.